RNAcentral lists this transfer RNA (69 nucleotides) under Patiria miniata (bat star). RNAcentral describes it as "tRNA-Ile". It matches the Rfam family "tRNA". From Rfam's summary of the family: Transfer RNA (tRNA) molecules are approximately 80 nucleotides in length. Their secondary structure includes four short double-helical elements and three loops (D, anti-codon, and T loops). The record is from Rfam by way of RNAcentral. Lineage: Eukaryota; Metazoa; Echinodermata; Asteroidea; Valvatida; Asterinidae.
GGUCGGUUAGCUCAGUCGGUAGAGCGUCGUGCUGAUAACGCGAAGUGGGUUCGAGCCCCACAUUGACCA